AACUCAUGCAGGCUGUACACAGGGAUGCAUACGACAGGGUUUUGCCGUGUUCCCCAGGCUGGUCUUGAACUCCUGAGCUCAAGUGAUCCUCCAGCUUUGACCUCCCAAAGUUUUGGAAUUACAGGCGUGAGCCACCGAGUCUGGCCCAUUUAUAUUAUUUUAAAACAUGUAUUUGGGAUUGUAGAUUGUUUUGACUGGAGAAAAAUCACAGAAGGAGAAUACAAUUUAUAAUGAUAAAAUCCUGUGCUUGUACUUAAACUUUAGUUCUCAAUUGAAAUAUUUUCCUAAGAAAUGUCUAAUACCCUCACAACUGAAUUAGUUGCUGUUUUACCCAGUGCAUUUAUAGCUUCCUGCCCUUAAACCUCUGAGAACAUUUAUCACACUGUAUCUCAUCCGCUUCUGCAGGGCAGGUGCUAUCUCUUGUCAUGUCAUUGUAUUCCCAAGACUUUGCACAUGUCUGACACAAGGUAGAUUGUCAAUAAAUAUAUACGGCAUUA
Molecule: long non-coding RNA, 497 nt
Filed under: Homo sapiens (human)
Lineage: Eukaryota; Metazoa; Chordata; Mammalia; Primates; Hominidae
Description: HSALNT0382698
Source: RNAcentral